GUCUACGACCAUACCACCCUGAACAUGCCUGAUCUCGUCGAUCUCGGAAGCAAAGCAGGGUCAGGCCUGGUUAGUACUUAAAUGGGAGACUGCCUGGGAAUACCUGGUGCCGUAAGCU
Ribosomal RNA from Callithrix jacchus (white-tufted-ear marmoset), 118 nucleotides. The record is from Ensembl. NCBI's taxonomy places the organism in Eukaryota, Metazoa, Chordata, Mammalia, Primates, Cebidae.